RNAcentral lists this long non-coding RNA (1061 nucleotides) under Callithrix jacchus (white-tufted-ear marmoset). Its description in RNAcentral is "lncRNA (ENSCJAG00000074303.1)". Lineage: Eukaryota; Metazoa; Chordata; Mammalia; Primates; Cebidae. The record is from RNAcentral.
AUACAGUGAACUCUGGAACACAGAUAAGAACGUGUAUUUUCUAAAGUGACAGUUUUGGCAGUCAGGCUCUGCACUGUGGACCCUGGACCUCAACUCUGUGAUUGAUGAAGCCUGUUGGAAAAACUGAUCAGAUUUCUUUGGUCUAAAUCCUUAAAUAGCCUCUGGUCUCUUUCUGCCUUUUGCAUCUUCUUAUAGGAUAGAAGAUGUUAAAAGAAGUAAUCACUCUAAAAGAGCCUGGUGUCGGGAUUGGCCUAUAAAAGGUACCCAUUAAUAUUCUCUCAGGAGGUGGAAGGCAUGAAAAUAGGUUAAAGAUAUAAUUGGGAAAGAAGUAGCACAGCAGCACUCAUGACAGCCAGGAUUGGAGGUUCAAUAAACUAUGGAUGGUGAUAAAGAAAUACAACUUGACAAACAGGGUACGCUUUACUACUAAUAGACUAAGUGGGGAGCCCAGGAAGGCCUGUUUCUCCAGAUUUUUCUUGGCCUCUCCAAGCACGCAUUCUUUCCUUCUGGGUGUCGGGCAGGACCCUCGCUGGAGUGGGAGUCUUAUGACCUACACGUAAGCAAGACAGGGUUUCACCAUGUUGAUCAGGCUGGUCUUGAACUCCUGACCUCAGAUGAUCAACCCACCUUGGCCUCCAAAGUGCUUGGAUUACAGGCGAACAGUAGUGUCCUUAGCCACAGUACAGUACUCAACAUCUUCCUCAACAAAAUACUCGAUAUCAGAUGGAAUGCGAUGGUUGCCUCCAUGGGACAAAGUAGGCUCUCCUGUGAAACAUCAAAUAAGGAAUAUGAAGAUUUCAUAAUUUUUGUAAAGAUGCAAAUAAAUUAUGCCCAAAGUUGAGAAGGAAUAGAAUAAAAUAUGUAAUCAGAAUCCAUUACUAUCUGAAAGUAUUCUUUUUAAAGCUCCCCAUGGCAUUUGUGAUUAGAGUCUUGCUUUAGUUUGACUGAAUAGUCAGCUGAAUAGUGAUCAGUAUGUGUGAGAAAAAUACAUAAGGCCAGGGAAAUAUCAGCAUUAAAUGAUCAGUGGCAAUAAUACCAGUGCCCUGAACUCACAGGCCCUC